This is a long non-coding RNA of Capsicum annuum, 1263 nucleotides long. RefSeq lists it as uncharacterized. The record is from RefSeq and is a predicted model, not a curated record. NCBI's taxonomy places the organism in Eukaryota, Viridiplantae, Streptophyta, Magnoliopsida, Solanales, Solanaceae. The transcript is spliced from 2 exons.
UUAAGACUGUCCUAGCUAUUUUCCUUAACUCAAAAGUAGAUUUGUUUUCUGGAUAUUAUAAUCAAUGAAGCAAGUUACUUUUGAUCUUAACUUGUGCCUUCAAUGUUGAAUUUCAAGGUUCACAAAUAAUGUGUUGACCACGACACAACAGAUAUGGUUGCGCAAGUUAGGUGGUGCAAAGCCUGUUGUGAGUGGAGAUGCUAGUGGUAUGGAUCAUCAGUGCUGGACGUGCAAAGAGAACUACCUCUCAACCUGAACAAUCUAGAGAGAGGUUUGUAUAAUAUUUCAAAGUUAAAUCAACUUUACAAUGUUUACCGGGCUAAUGAGAAAGUUUAUGGAGACAGAUUCAGGCAGCUAAUAAUUCAACCUCUCUACCGAUAAGGUUGAACUAUCAGCUUCUAUCCCCGUGUUUGUGUUUGUGUUAGUGUUCGUGUUUGGAUUGGCUUAAUUUUAAGUGCUAUUGGCUUUUAAGCACUUUGUUAUUUUUGAAGGUGUUUGACAAAGACAAAAAGUGUUUUUAAGUGCUUUUAGCUUUUAGCAAAAAGUCAAUCCAAACACUCCCUAUAUCUGAUUAUGCGGAUGAACCAGAUGAUGACAAGAAGCCCAAGAAACUCUUCCUUACAAUACUAUCAGAGGUUCAAUUCCUGCCAAUGUCAACUUCACGUCGAGCAGUUUUCAGGGUAAUCCAAGAAGAGCCAUUGGCAAGAACACGUCAACUACAGCCACACCUCCUCGAGUUUCUCAGAAGAAAGUAUCUCAAUUCUUAUCUAUCUUGUCUUAUGCAAUUCUUGGCUGAUUAUCAUACUUCUACUCGCAUAAUUGCAUUCAUAGAAUAACAAAGGAGAAAAGAGCAACGCUACUCCAAAGGACAUUUGCAGAAAAUGUUGAAACAAGACCAUUGGUCAGAGUGCUCAAUGAACAUCUCUGCAAAGCACAAUGAUCACAUCAACUUUUGUCAUAUUCCUGCUUUAAGCUCCAACCAAAUUUGUUGGGAAAGGAAGACUGGAAGUGCUUACAAGGCCCCUUGUUGCUUCUACUGUCCAAGCAAUGGCAGUCUUUCCCCUCAUCUUGAUAAUAAAGCCCUUGAAGAAGUAACUUCAACGUACUUUUACUGAAGCAUCUUAUACCCUCUUUCUUUUGUAUAGACAUCUAGAAGAUGUUUUUGUCGCCUGUUUUUUUCAUUAAGGUGACUGCACCUCAAUACAAUUUAGAUCUUGAACAAUUCCCAUGAGAAAUCUGAGAAUAAGGCCAAUAGUUGUUGCA